GCCCCGUUCGUCUAGCGGCCUAGGACACCGCCCUCUCACGGCGGCGGCACCGGUUCAAAUCCGGUACGGGGUACCA
Molecule: transfer RNA, 76 nt
Filed under: Actinomyces bovis
Lineage: Bacteria; Bacillati; Actinomycetota; Actinomycetes; Actinomycetales; Actinomycetaceae
Description: tRNA-Glu(ctc)
Rfam family: tRNA
About the family: Transfer RNA (tRNA) molecules are approximately 80 nucleotides in length.
Source: RNAcentral